RNAcentral lists this ribosomal RNA (555 nucleotides) under Triticum aestivum (bread wheat). RNAcentral describes it as "partial small subunit ribosomal RNA". The record is from RNAcentral. Lineage: Eukaryota; Viridiplantae; Streptophyta; Magnoliopsida; Poales; Poaceae.
ACCGUGGUGGCCGCGCGGUUCUGCGCGCGGCGCCCGACGGCGUUCACCGUGACCAAGACCGGCUGGCCGUGGGGCCGCGACCUGACCGUCACGGACGCCAGCGGCGCGGAGGUGAUGCGGGUGGACGGGUCCUUCCUCUUCGGCCGCUCCGUCCUCCUCGACGCCGCGUCGCGCCCCGUGCUCACCGUGCAGCGCCGGCCGUCCCUGUUCGAGGUCCGCCGGACGUGGAAGGCGUUCGAGGGGGACAGCACGAGCUCCAAGGACCUGCUCUUCUCCGCCGUCGUGCAGCCAUCGCUGACCAGCACGGGAGACAUCCACGUGCACCUCGACGGCGACAGGCGCCGCGACUUCGUCGGCGUCCGCCCCUGGUACCGCGGGACUGACUGCGCCGUCACCCACGCCGGCGCCACCGUUGCCCAGAUCGAAAGCUCGGGGGGGUUCUUGAGUCCGGCAAAGUAUGACGUCCGUGUCAACGAAGGCGUCGACCAUGCCUUCAUCCUGGGGCUCACCGUGGUUCUGGAGUGUAUACGGCUCGACGACGCUGAACAAGAGAGG